AAUGAACGCUGGCGGCGUGCCUAAUACAUGCAAGUCGAGCGAACAGACGAGGAGCUUGCUCCCCUGACGUUAGCGGCGGACGGGUGAGUAACACGUGGAUAACCUACCUAUAAGACUGGGAUAACUUCGGGAAACCGGAGCUAAUACCGGAUAAUAUAUUGAACCGCAUGGUUCCAUAGUGAAAGACGGUUUUGCUGUCACUUAUAGAUGGAUCCGCGCCGCAUUAGCUAGUUGGUAAGGUAACGGCUUACCAAGGCAACGAUGCGUAGCCGACCUGAGAGGGUGAUCGGACAGAUUGGAACAGAGACACGGUACAGACUCCUACGGGAGGAAGCAGUAGGGAAUCUUCCGCGAUGGGCGAGAGCUUGAUGGAGCAACACCGCGUGAGUGAUGAAGGUCUUAGGAUCGGAAAACGCUGUUAUUAGGAAAGAACAAAUGUGUAAGUAACUAUGCACGUAUUGACGGUACCUAAUCAGAAAGCCACGGCUAACUACGUG
This 497-nucleotide ribosomal RNA is filed under the name uncultured bacterium. Its description in RNAcentral is "partial 16S ribosomal RNA". It matches the Rfam family "Bacterial small subunit ribosomal RNA", at positions 29 to 507 of the family's 1533-position model. The record is from RNAcentral.